Molecule: ribosomal RNA, 253 nt
Filed under: uncultured bacterium
Lineage: Bacteria
Description: partial 16S ribosomal RNA
Rfam family: Bacterial small subunit ribosomal RNA
Source: RNAcentral
UACGUAGGGUGCAAGCGUUGUCCGGAAUUAUUGGGCGUAAAGAGCUCGUAGGCGGUUUGUCGCGUCGAAUGUGAAAACCCGGGGCUCAACCCCGGGCCUGCAGUCGAUACGGGCGGGCUAGAGUUCGGUAGGGGAGACUGGAAUUCCUGGUGUAGCGGUGAAAUGCGCAGAUAUCAGGAGGAACACCGGUGGCGAAGGCGGGUCUCUGGGCCGAUACUGACGCUGAGGAGCGAAAGCGUGGGGAGCGAACAGG